RNAcentral lists this ribosomal RNA (465 nucleotides) under uncultured bacterium. Its description in RNAcentral is "partial 16S ribosomal RNA". It matches the Rfam family "Bacterial small subunit ribosomal RNA", at positions 30 to 506 of the family's 1533-position model. The record is from RNAcentral.
CGAACGCUGGCGGCGUGCUUCACACAUGCAAGUCGAACGGAAAGGCCCUGCUUUUGUGGGGUGCUCGAGUGGCGAACGGGUGAGUAACACGUGAGUAACCUGCCCUUGACUUUGGGAUAACUUCAGGAAACUGGGGCUAAUACCGGAUAGGAGCUCCUGCUGCAUGGUGGGGGUUGGAAAGUUUCGGCGGUUGGGGAUGGACUCGCGGCUUAUCAGCUUGUUGGUGGGGUAGUGGCUUACCAAGGCUUUGACGGGUAGCCGGCCUGAGAGGGUGACCGGCCACAUUGGGACUGAGAUACGGCCCAGACUCCUACGGGAGGCAGCAGUGGGGAAUAUUGCACAAUGGGCGGAAGCCUGAUGCAGCAACGCCGCGUGCGGGAUGACGGCCUUCGGGUUGUAAACCGCUUUCGCCUGUGACGAAGCGUGAGUGACGGUAAUGGGUAAAGAAGCACCGGCUAACUACGU